CGUCAAAGUAUAUAUGUAGGCAGGAAUAGUUUGACUAAAGUGGGAGAGCUACAUUUCCAGUUUCAUUUACUGUGCACUUACAAUGGUGAGUUUCUGUUUUUAUGUAGUUUUCAAUUUUAUUUUAUUUUAUUUAUUAAAACAAAUAUCUUAAAUAUCUUUUUUGGUUAUCACUGAAAUGUUUAAUUUGGUAAUGUGUUGUGUUUUUUUCUUAUUGCUUUAGACUUCUAUGGAAAACAACAGAAUAGAACAUGAAGACACUGAAGCACAUAAUUUUAAGACGAACAGUUUGAUAAUGAUUGAGGAAAUGCUGAAACUGAAGACCACGAUUCAACAAGACACUACAGCAUUGAUUGAUGAGAUGCUCCACAGCAUCUUCUUUCUGGGAAAUAUCAUGCAAACAUCAGUUUCUCCAGAAGACCUCAUCCCUGAUACGGAGCUCUUUCAAAACUUAAGGCAAGAAUAUCGAAGGCCUUUUGAACUCUAUUCCACUCAUCUGCCCAGGCGGAGUCCGUUCUCCUGUGUGCUUGACAUGGUAAGAAAAUAUGACUGCUACUUUCAUUCAGUAAUGAUACAUUUUCACUCAAACUUCAUGUAUAAAUUAAUAUCAAAUCCAAAGAAAAAGUAAAACACCUUCUGUACAUUAUGGUUCAGUGCCAAACAGAAGGUGAACACAGACUGUUGAAGAGUCAGGCCAUUUAAUCAGCUAAAAGACUGAAUAUUGAACUUAUAUUAUUCUGGACUCAAACACAACUCCUGGUCUAUUCUAGAAAGCAGAUUUAGCUAACAGUGAGUUUGUUAUCACUGAGGUGAGGGAAACGAUGUAAUGAGGAAAAAUGAGGCUUUCUGUUUCAGAAAGUCAGAUACUGGGGUAACAGAAUCUGUGAAUUGAACCUGCUCACUGGCAAGUUUUUUUCAAGAACUCAGAAUUUCUUUCAGACUUAAACCCUCUUGAAAUUUAAAAUCUGAACCUGGACAUUUGACAAUAAAACAAAAACAAAAAACACCAAAAUGUCUCAUUACCAAAGUGUAACACAAGAAACACUUAAUGAUGGGUAAAAUCAAAGAAAAUAGGUUUCAAAGUAAGUAAUGCACUCUAAUGCACACUGUGGCCUGUUUGCCUGCUCGCCAACUCCAUUGGUGAUGAAAAAACGUGGCCCAGACAAUCACCUGACCUCAUCCAAUAGAAAAUCUAUUGAAAGAACUAAAGCUCAGAACUGACAGAAGGGACCCACAGAACCUUCAGGAUCUGAAGACUGUUUGUGUGGAAGAAUG
Molecule: long non-coding RNA, 1272 nt
Filed under: Oreochromis niloticus (Nile tilapia)
Lineage: Eukaryota; Metazoa; Chordata; Actinopteri; Cichliformes; Cichlidae
Description: lncRNA (ENSONIG00000037146.1)
Source: RNAcentral